Non-coding RNA from Ficedula albicollis (Collared flycatcher), 67 nucleotides. NCBI's taxonomy places the organism in Eukaryota, Metazoa, Chordata, Aves, Passeriformes, Muscicapidae. The record is from Ensembl.
GGCCCUGUAGUGAAGUUCAUAGUGAGUUGCAAGCUCAUUGAUGUGUGCUGGUUGCGCACCGGGGUCU